UACGGGGGGGGCAAGCGUUGUUCGGAAUUACUGGGCGUAAAGGGUUUGUAGGUGGCUCGCUAAGUCAGACGUGAAAUCCCUCAGCUUAACUGGGGAACUGCGUCUGAAACUGAUGAGCUUGAGUGCAGGAGAGGAACGCGGAAUUCCAGGUGUAGCGGUGAAAUGCGUAGAUAUCGGGAGGAACACCAGUGGCGAAGGCGACUUCCUGGCCUGUUCUUGACGCUGAGGCGCGAAAGCUAGGGUAGCAAACGGG
Molecule: ribosomal RNA, 253 nt
Filed under: uncultured bacterium
Lineage: Bacteria
Description: partial 16S ribosomal RNA
Rfam family: Bacterial small subunit ribosomal RNA
Source: RNAcentral